AGGAUAAACGCUGGCGGCGUGCCUAACACAUGCAAGUCGAACGUCUCUUCUUUCGGGAAGAGGAGUGGCGGACGGGUGAGGAACACGUGGGAACCUGCCCUUCAGUGAGGAAUACCGGCGAGAAAUCGCCGACAAGACCGCAUAGCCCUCUCUGGUGAGAGCCAGAGAAGGAAAGCCUCGCAAGAGGCGCUGGAGGAGGGGCCUGCGUCCGAUUAGCUAGUUGGUGGGGUAAGAGCCUACCAAGGCGUCGAUCGGUAGCUGGUCUGAGAGGACGAUCAGCCACACUGGGAUUGAGAACGGCCCAGACUCCUACGGGGGGCAGCAGUGAGGAAUUUUCGGCAAUGGGGGAAACCCUGACCGAGCAACGCCGCGUGCAGGAAGACGGCCUUCGGGUUGUAAACUGCUUUCUUUGGGUACGAGCAAGGACGGUACCAGAGGAAUCAGCCCGGCUCACUACGUGCCAGCAGCCGC
RNAcentral lists this ribosomal RNA (471 nucleotides) under uncultured bacterium. RNAcentral's name for it is "SSU rRNA". It matches the Rfam family "Bacterial small subunit ribosomal RNA", at positions 26 to 518 of the family's 1533-position model. The record is from RNAcentral.